AAGUCGUAACAAGGUUUCCGUAGGUGAACCUGCGGAAGGAUCAUUAACACGUUAUCCACGUAUCUACCUCUUGCGAACUUUUUACUGUUUAACAGUCGGCAGACCAGCGUAGAUGAUGGAGGUAGAUGUUACUAUGUCCAGUGGCCACAGCCCUGGUUCUACCUGCCUACCUAAUCCCCUCCUCCCUAACAAAAAACCGUACCUGAAUAAAAAAUGUGGUGUUUAUUUGGGGACGUUUUUGUGUGUGUGUGUGUGUGUGGGUUAGAUAUUCUGGUUCAUAUGACUCGAAUCAUAGUAGUUUUUUAACUUAUUCACCCUUUUUUACUUAAUUUGUUGAAUUGUGAUGGUCUUGGAGGUAACACUUCGUGACUCACGUAAAUAAAACACUAUACAACUCUUAGCAACGGAUAUCUCGGUUCUCCUAUCGAUGAAAAACGCAGC
Molecule: unclassified non-coding RNA, 441 nt
Filed under: fungal sp.
Lineage: Eukaryota; Fungi
Description: partial internal transcribed spacer region
Rfam family: Eukaryotic small subunit ribosomal RNA (bases 1-46)
Source: RNAcentral